GGGGGCGAUCAGGUUUCGACGGGGUUAGUUGAGACCAUGGCUGCAGGCCGAGCGACCCGGUGACUCGUUAAUCCACAGGGAACUAAACACAAAAGCAGACUCUUACGAGUACGCUCUAGCGGCAUAACGCUAGCGCUCCAAGCGAAACGUGGCCCGCGGUUCGUUUGGGGCGUGGAUAAAAGGGCUGGUCGAACAAGGAACUCAUCCCGGCUUGUUCGGUGAGAAAAACGGGGUGACAGCCGAGAGGCAGCCUUUCCGCCGGCGUCCUCAAGGUUAAAACCAAAUGACGGAAUAUGCCUGUAGACGUCAUGGGGGAAGAACUUCGGACGCGGGUUCGAUUCCCGCCGCCUCCACCA
This 356-nucleotide transfer-messenger RNA is filed under the name Deltaproteobacteria bacterium. It matches the Rfam family "transfer-messenger RNA". From Rfam's summary of the family: Bacterial tmRNA, also known as 10Sa RNA or SsrA, is named for its dual tRNA and mRNA-like properties. Its role is to liberate the mRNA from a stalled ribosome. To accomplish this part of the tmRNA is used as a reading frame that ends in a translation stop signal. The record is from RNAcentral. Lineage: Bacteria; Pseudomonadati; Myxococcota; Myxococcia.